Molecule: ribosomal RNA, 577 nt
Filed under: Escherichia coli
Lineage: Bacteria; Pseudomonadati; Pseudomonadota; Gammaproteobacteria; Enterobacterales; Enterobacteriaceae
Description: bacterial SSU rRNA
Rfam family: Bacterial small subunit ribosomal RNA
Source: RNAcentral
GGUUUAAUUCGAUGCAACGCGAAGAACCUUACCUGGUCUUGACAUCCACGGAAGUUUUCAGAGAUGAGAAUGUGCCUUCGGGAACCGUGAGACAGGUGCUGCAUGGCUGUCGUCAGCUCGUGUUGUGAAAUGUUGGGUUAAGUCCCGCAACGAGCGCAACCCUUAUCCUUUGUUGCCAGCGGUCCGGCCGGGAACUCAAAGGAGACUGCCAGUGAUAAACUGGAGGAAGGUGGGGAUGACGUCAAGUCAUCAUGGCCCUUACGACCAGGGCUACACACGUGCUACAAUGGCGCAUACAAAGAGAAGCGACCUCGCGAGAGCAAGCGGACCUCAUAAAGUGCGUCGUAGUCCGGAUUGGAGUCUGCAACUCGACUCCAUGAAGUCGGAAUCGCUAGUAAUCGUGGAUCAGAAUGCCACGGUGAAUACGUUCCCGGGCCUUGUACACACCGCCCGUCACACCAUGGGAGUGGGUUGCAAAAGAAGUAGGUAGCUUAACCUUCGGGAGGGCGCUUACCACUUUGUGAUUCAUGACUGGGGUGAAGUCGUAACAAGGUAACCGUAGGGGAACCUGCGGUUG